Drosophila subpulchrella is the source of this 334-nucleotide long non-coding RNA. RefSeq lists it as uncharacterized. The transcript has 2 exons. Lineage: Eukaryota; Metazoa; Arthropoda; Insecta; Diptera; Drosophilidae. The record is from RefSeq and is a predicted model, not a curated record.
AAAUUGCCAGAACAAAACAGAACACAUCGCAGAGGCAGAUAUGUAGAUACAAAUACGGAUAGAUGGUAGCCAACUGUAUUCCAUAUAGAGAUCCAUAUGUAACCCAUGCAAAGUGCAAGUGGGUGGCGCCCGUUUAGAGAACUUUGGCGACAACAACCAGAAACAACUGGAUCAACAACACAGCAACUAACAACACAAUGGGAAUACUGAGGCAAUAUGCAGUAAUAAGCAAUAAAUGGAAAUAAAGGUCAAGUUUAAGUGACGGCGAUGACGAGAGAGGCAAAAAAAAAAACAGAAUCUACAGAUGUAAUGGAAAAUAAACGAAUAAAAACUA